UAGUAACUGCGAGUGAAGCGGGAAAAGCUCAAAUUUAAAAUCUGGCGGUCUCCGGCCGUCCGAGUUGUAGUCUGGAGAAGCGUUUUCCGCGUCGGCCCGUGUACAAGUUUCCUGGAACGGAGCGUCAUAGAGGGUGAGAAUCCCGUCUCUGACACGGACCGCCGAUGCUUUGUGAUGCGCUCUCGAAGAGUCGAGUUGUUUGGGAAUGCAGCUCAAAAUGGGUGGUGAAUUCCAUCUAAAGCUAAAUAUUGGCGAGAGACCGAUAGCGAACAAGUACCGUGAGGGAAAGAUGAAAAGCACUUUGGAAAGAGAGUUAAACAGUACGUGAAAUUGUUGAAAGGGAAACGCUUGAAGUCAGUCGCGUCUGCCGGGACUCAGCCUUGCAAUCUUGCUUGGUGUACUUUCUGGUGGACGGGCCAGCAUCAAUUUUGGUCGCCGGACAAAGGCUGGAGAAAUGUGGCACCUUCGGGUGUGUUAUAGUCUCUGGUCGCAUACGGCGGUCGGGAUUGAGGAACUCAGCAUGCCUUUAUGGUCGGGGUUCGCCCACGUUCAUGCUUAGGAUGCUGGCGUAAUGGCUUUAAACGACCCGUCUUGAAACACGGACCAAGGAGUCUAACAUGCCCGCGAGUGUUCGGGUGGAAAACCCGUGCGCGUAAUGAAAGUGAAAGUUGGGACCUCUGUCGUGGAGGGCACCGACGCCCGGACCAGAACUUCUGUGACGGAUCUGCGGUAGAGCGUGUAUGUUGGGACCCGAAAGAUGGUGAACUAUGCCUGAAUAGGGUGAAGCCAGAGGAAACUCUGGUGGAGGCUCGUAGCGAUUCUGACGUGCAAAUCGAUCGUCAAAUUUGGGUAUAGGGGCGAAAGACUAAUCGAAC
This 875-nucleotide ribosomal RNA is filed under the name Bondarzewia sp. JAC10839. RNAcentral's name for it is "eukaryotic LSU rRNA". It matches the Rfam family "Eukaryotic large subunit ribosomal RNA", at positions 81 to 940 of the family's 3401-position model. Lineage: Eukaryota; Fungi; Basidiomycota; Agaricomycetes; Russulales; Bondarzewiaceae. The record is from RNAcentral.